RNAcentral lists this long non-coding RNA (235 nucleotides) under Lathyrus oleraceus (garden pea). RNAcentral's name for it is "Pisum sativum (pea) long non-coding RNA (PSAT_LNC042023)". Lineage: Eukaryota; Viridiplantae; Streptophyta; Magnoliopsida; Fabales; Fabaceae. The record is from RNAcentral.
AGAAUAAUGCAAUGAAUUGUGUCCACGUUCAACCAAAACGGAGAAGUGCGCGAAUGGGUGGAUAUUAAGACCGACCAAGACGCUCGUACGAUGAUGCAUUACAUGUUCAAAAUUGUUUUGAUGGUUGUAAUCGCAGAGUUCUUGUAUUGUAUUUGUUUAUAAUUAUUUGUGUUACUAUUUAUGUAAUGGUUCUUUCGUCACAAACGUCUAAUAUGAAAUAAAUUUAGUUUUUCAU